RNAcentral lists this long non-coding RNA (360 nucleotides) under Elaeis guineensis (African oil palm). RNAcentral describes it as "long non-coding RNA (EGUI_LNC059319)". Lineage: Eukaryota; Viridiplantae; Streptophyta; Magnoliopsida; Arecales; Arecaceae. The record is from RNAcentral.
CACCAACAGAAUUGGCGCUAGAGGAUAUGCCUGUGUCUUUGUAGGACCCUUGUUCUUAAAGGAGUACUCAACGGGACUAUCUCCAGUCAUCUUCUUCGACAUCUUCUUCUUCUUCUUCGACCAGAUCCCAACCUGAUGCCUCCCCAAAAGUUAUCCACCAGGUGAUCUACGGCCACCAUGGCCAAAUCUCAGUAAGAUCCACCGACUCUAUCCUCGUCUCCAGUUGCCAGGCUCCUCCUCCUCCGACAAUGAUAGUCGGCAUGGAGCAGUUUGACCUGCUGGUUCAGUAGGUCAGGGGCCUCAACGAAGUGGUGCAGGCCAUGCAGUAGCAGCAGCAGCUACCGCAGGCAUCUAUGUGGC